This 67-nucleotide transfer RNA is filed under the name Marmota monax (woodchuck). Its description in RNAcentral is "tRNA.Ala". The record is from RNAcentral. Lineage: Eukaryota; Metazoa; Chordata; Mammalia; Rodentia; Sciuridae.
GGUUUUGGCUCAGUGGCAAAGUGCCUGCCUUGCAAGUGUGAGGCACUGGGUUCAAUCCUCAGCACCA